This 79-nucleotide transfer RNA is filed under the name Streptomyces sp. AS41. Its description in RNAcentral is "Streptomyces sp. SLBN-118 tRNA-Ser". The record is from RNAcentral. Lineage: Bacteria; Bacillati; Actinomycetota; Actinomycetes; Kitasatosporales; Streptomycetaceae.
GGGUGGGCAAUAUGAUUGCCCGGCGGUCUUGAAGACCGUCGUGGCAGCGAUGUCACCGUGGGUUCAAAUCCCACACCCA